RNAcentral lists this ribosomal RNA (326 nucleotides) under uncultured Spirochaetota bacterium. RNAcentral describes it as "bacterial SSU rRNA". It matches the Rfam family "Bacterial small subunit ribosomal RNA", at positions 29 to 351 of the family's 1533-position model. Lineage: Bacteria; Pseudomonadati; Spirochaetota. The record is from RNAcentral.
AACGAACGCUGGCGGCGCGUUUUAAGCAUGCAAGUCGGACGGUAGAGGGAGCUUGCUCCCUUGAGAGUGGCGAACGGGUGAGUAACACGUAGAUGAUCUGCCUUUUAAGUUGGGGAUAGCCCAUGGAAACAUGGGGUAAUACCGAAUACGUUCUUUUGUGUAAAGGCAAGAGAAGAAAGGGGCUAAGGCCUCGCUUAAAGAUGAGUCUGCGGUUCAUUAGCUAGUUGGUGGGUAAAGGCCUACCAAGGCUACGAUGAAUAGCCGGCCUGAGAGGGUGAACGGCCACACUGGAACUGAGACACGGUCCAGACUCCUACGGGUGGCAG